GCUCCUUAGAGCCGAAGACGCUCCGGUGCUGCGCCGCCUCUUCCAGGCUAUGGGCCGGCCCGGCUGCAUUUACCUUUUGGCUUGGUUCACUGUUCACCAGCCACGCGGUCCAGGUCGCCGCCGGCUGCUUGCUAGCACCCCGGGCCGCCAGGGUACCCGCCUGGGGUGGGUGAGGGGCUCGGAGCGCCUGAUACCCCGCGAUGUGCCACCGGGGACUUGGAAGUGAGCGGUGCUGGGUGUUCCUCCCACUAUCCCACUCCAGGACAGCUAGAGCUCACUCGGAACCAAGCCUUUCUGCUGCUCCUGAGCUUCGACUUCCUCGCGCCCUGGAGCCCACUUCACUCAGCUCGCCGCCGCCCAGAGUUGCAAAGUGCGACGCGCACAGGAGCGCAG
RNAcentral lists this long non-coding RNA (393 nucleotides) under Rattus norvegicus (Norway rat). Its description in RNAcentral is "long non-coding RNA NONRATT015277". Lineage: Eukaryota; Metazoa; Chordata; Mammalia; Rodentia; Muridae. The record is from RNAcentral.